This 58-nucleotide transfer RNA is filed under the name Salmo salar (Atlantic salmon). It matches the Rfam family "tRNA", at positions 8 to 63 of the family's 71-position model. From Rfam's summary of the family: Transfer RNA (tRNA) molecules are approximately 80 nucleotides in length. Their secondary structure includes four short double-helical elements and three loops (D, anti-codon, and T loops). The record is from Rfam by way of RNAcentral. Lineage: Eukaryota; Metazoa; Chordata; Actinopteri; Salmoniformes; Salmonidae.
UGGCUCAGUUGGUAGAGUAUGGUGUUUGAAAUGCCAGGGUUGUGGGUUUGAUUCCCAC